RNAcentral lists this long non-coding RNA (14247 nucleotides) under Nicotiana benthamiana. Its description in RNAcentral is "long non-coding RNA (NBEN_LNC005046)". The record is from RNAcentral. Lineage: Eukaryota; Viridiplantae; Streptophyta; Magnoliopsida; Solanales; Solanaceae.
GCCCUAACGCCGCCACCACUCCCCACUACCUCCGCGGGCGAUGCCACAUCCAAUCACUCCCAAAAUAACACCUCGUGACCACCACGACCCCAUCAUACUGAAUCCACAACUUAUUCCCUCAAAUAUUCCUCAAACUCCUCGAACCUUAAAUCCAAAUUCGAACUCUAGAAGCCAAAUCCAAACCCAGGCAUGCAAGAUGAUUUCUCAAGUCCUCAUGAGUUUUUAGAGCCGGUUUGUCACGAAAUAGUGUUGUUCGCUUCUUCUUGACAAAGAACAACUGAUUGACAUUUUUUUGGAAUGAAGUCGGAGUGUCAAGUCUUGCGUUUGAGCUUUGUGUGGUGAGUUCUUUCUGUAUUUUGAUUCAUUUUGUUAUUUCGACUUUCUUUCUUCUUCUUUUCUUCUAUUUUCUUGUACAACUCAGAUCAAACUUGACUCAAGUCUUAGCUGAAAUCGAUAACUGUCUGCUUGUUCUUCUUAAGUAUGUUCUCCAGUCCUGCUUGUUUUGUUUAGUUCCUUUUGCUAAUGGCAUGGUUACUGUUCUCCUUUCAUCUCCCAUUUAAUAACCUAGUUAAGUUAAUUAGGCCCAUAACUUAGUUAAUUUCCUGCUAUGUAGUUAAUUUAAUUAGCUCAUUCCCUUUUGUCUUUGUUUUGAAUGCAUUUUAACAAAUAUUUUUGGGUUUCUUCUUUUAGGAAAUCUUGGUAAGUUCUUAAAAUUAUAAAUAUGUGGUUAAUCUAAAUGGGGCUCUGAAAAAAUCAAAAUCCCCAGAGGGGAAUUAAUUAGGGAUUACAGAUAUAUGAGGCUCUUAAUUUAGUCAAUUUUGACCCAUCUGGUCUAGUUUCUUUGGGUAAUUUACAGGGCUUAAAGGGGUAAUUUAGGAAUUCUGGUUUAGGAAAUCUUUGAAAACUAAUUGAGGAAGCUUCUAAGAAGCUGGGGUGGGGGACUAAAUUGAAGUUUUGAAAAUUAAACUAAGGGUACCAAAGCUAAAAUGAAAAUAUUAGAAGGACUACAGUGAAAAAAUAGUUGCAUUUCUGCAGCCCUAAUGCCUUGCCUAUAAAGGCACCUUUGCUUGACAUUUAAGUAAGAAAUUGAGAGAUAAAAAUCUAGAAAAAACUGAAACGGCUAAAAAAAAGAUAUGGAGGGAGUGUGAAUAAUCAAACAUACAAACAAAAAUCAGAAAACCACUGUUACAUAGAGGUUUUUCAAGUUUUUUAAGUAAAUAUGAGGUCCAUACUGGGUUUGAAAUGGUUUGAAGAAGCUAGAUUUGCCAUUGUUGAGCUGCUGAGAUACAUUUUCUUCUACUGUUGAUCUUCUUGCCCUUGCUUUUGCUCAAAUUAUAUUAGGUAUGCCCUAGAAACUGUGAUGGAACUGAAGCUUGACUGAAUCUAUGUAAAGAUCUGUAAACUUGAGUUGGAAUUAUGUCACGACCCAAACCCCGCACUGGUCGUGAAGGCGCCUCUCGUGAAGAUGAGGCUAGCCAACUAACCCAACUCGUCUUUUCAAAAAUAAUUAAUCAUCUCAAAUAUGACUUAACAAUAUUAAUUAAUGGAAAUCCAACCCAACAAAGCCCUAAUCGAGGUGUCACAAGUCACGAGCAUCUAUCAGGAUAUAAGUCCACUACAAGGUCAAAAUAUACAAAACCAGAAUAAUGAAUAAAAGAAGGAAACAUGAUGCUGCGAACGCUGACAGUCACCUCCAUAACUGAUAUAACUCCUCCUCUGAUCGGCCAAAACCCACUUUCGGGUGAAUAGAUACCUACAUCUGCACACGAGGUGCAGGGAGUAAAGUGAGUACUGCCACUCAGUAAGUAAUAAAGGUAAAUAACAACAGAGCAGUAAGAAAUAACGUAUGGCAAACCAUCACGCUGUAUAGAAGCAGGGUACAAUCCUUUGAGGAAACAGUGAACCUAUGAAAUCAAUGGAAAUAUCUUUGCUCGGUUUAAAUCUCUUUUGAUUCAACAAUUACGAAAUGAUUUAAAAACAGUUAGUGCCGAUAAGCACAGAAGAUCUGCUCCUCGAGCACAAAUACCACAGUAUUAUAGGUAAAAAGGCAAGUAAAUAUGAAAGAUGAGCACAUAAAAUUUCACCCCUGGGCAAUAUCUAAAAACAAUACCCGCCCCUCGGGCACAAUAUCUAUCGCUCAGAACAAUUUCAGCCCCUCGGGCUCAGUAUUAGUUAUUCAACAUAGCAUCAGCCCCUCGGGCUCACUCUCAGAUCAUAUGGGUGCCCACGCUCACUGGGGGUGUGUAGACUCUAGAGGGACCCCAUACGGCCCAAACGCAUCAACAUAAGGCCUAAAAACUUUAUCACAUCUCUCAUAAGGCCUGAAAUCCUCCUUACAUCACUCGCAGGGCUUGAAAGCCUCCUCAACGGAAUUUUACAAGUCCAAAAUGCAACACAACAAGGGGGUCGUUAGACCGUAGCUUGCGCGAAGGAAGAAGCUAAUCAAUCAGAAUUGAGACAGGGAGGAGAGGCGAAAGAGAGAUUUUCGAGCCUGCAAGCAGCAAGCAACAACGGCUUUUCAGCCGUUGCGCGCUAGCUUGUAGUUUAGGGGUAUAGUAGGGGUGCCCCUUUCUCAAACUUUUCUAUAAUAUAAGGUAAGCUUUUUGGAACCCUAGUUUUGGAGUUUUCCCCAACCAACCUAUACCUUACUAAUAAAAAGGGGCUUCCCUUUUUCAGCUGCAUUGCACUGCCGCAUAAACAAUGGAUCCGCUGGGCUGGAUGAGCAACCUUCUAUCUGGCCUCUGUACCAAUAGUAGAGUGGCUUGCUACUUUCAAUCAGAAAAGGAAGAUUGAGCAAGGCAAAGGAGAAAGAAGUUGUCCCCUCUUCUCUGCCGCCGCCGCAUAUGUAGAAAAAGAAGGAGCGGAGAAGGAAGAACAACCGUUUGACUUUGGCACAUAUUGGUCAGGUAAAGGCCCGGGUACAUAUUCACCGCGGCAUGCUGAUCCGCGAUUAUCUCAUAUGGCCAGAAAGCCUCCUCGCAUCUCUCACAAGGCCUCAAGCCUCCUCAUAUCUAUCACAAGGCCUGAAAGCCACCUCAUAUCUCUCACAAGGCCUGAAAGCCUCCUCACAUCUCUCACAAGGACGGAAAGCCUCCUCACAUCUCUCACAAGGCCUGAAAGCCACGUCACGUCUCUCACAAGGCCUACAAGCCUCCUCACAUCACUCAAGCCACCUCGUGGCAUAUAAAUGUAUCUCAGUCCCUCAGCCUCACUCAAUCCAGAAAACAUAAUAAGCCCCUCGGGCAUCAAUAAAAUAGUAGCGCUUAGCCCAAACAGCAGUGCAAAUAUCAUUUAAGUCUCAAAAUUCAAUUAAGCAGCUAAAUUUUUAAAACAGUAUAAUUAUUAGGACUAAGUUCAAGUAAUGUAUCAAAAUAGUGAGGAAACAGUGAUAAAAGUCCAUGAAUGAUUCAUGUAAAUAUUGCAAUAAGCCCAAAUUGUGAUGAUAAUAAACACAUCUUAGUCAAAUAUGCGGUAAAUUAUCGAACGGACGUACCAAGUCACAAUCCCCAGUAUUAAUAACCUCACGCUCGCUAUUAAGCGCGUGUUUCACCUCAAUAUAGCACUACGUUGUGCAAAUCCGAGGUUUCAAACCCUCAGGAUAUCAUUACACUCAUUACUCACCUCGAAUUGGUGAAACGUCUAGCUUGCGAUACCUUUUCCCCUCAAAUCGGCCUCAACGUGUGUCGAAUCUAUCCAAAAACAAAGCGAUUACAUCACAAUAUGCUAAGGGAACAAAGCCCAAACAAAAAUAGACCAUGAGGAGCACAAAUCCGGAAAUUAACAAAACCUAAUCCCCAGGCCCACUUCUCGAAAUCCAGAAAUUUUCAAAUCAACGGGUUCCUUAUCUCUCCACGAGUCUAUACAUAUAAAGAACACUAAAAUCGGAGUCCAAAUGACCCCUCAAAUCCCAAUUUGAAAUAUCAAAACUAAAGCCCUAGUUCUUCCUCUUUUUUUUAAGUAUUCAUAAAUUUUCAGGUUUAUCCCACAAUUAAAUCAUGCUUUUAGUUCAUAGAACUUACCUCCAAUCAAUCCUCUUCGAAACCCUCUUCAAUUCCCGUCAAAAAGCUCUCAAAGAUGCCCAACAAUGGGGAAAAAAAACUUAGACUCGCGGAGAAAAUGUUUUUAAAAACCAUUCUGCCCAGGUGACUUUUACUCUAUGCGAACACGAGGGUUUUCCAGCAUUCGCGAUGAACAAUACUUGCCUCUGACCAAAAUACCCUUCUCGAACGCUGUACCCCGAUUGCGAAUGCGAUGCUUUAACUGAUACCAUUAUGCGAAUGUGAACCUUAGGCCGUGAACGCAAAGAACAAUUCAUACGGAGCCUCAUCGUCCAAGAGCUCUCAAGAUGCUCAACAAUGGUGGAAAAUAACUUAGCCUCGCGGAACAAAAAUGUUUUAAAAACCCUCCCGCCCAGCUGACUAUUUCAUCUGUGCGAACACGAGGGCUUUCUCGCAUUCGCGAUGCACAAAAUUCCACUGACCAAUUUUACCCUUCGCGAAUGCAAUGCUUGCCCGCAAACGCGAUACUUUAACUGAUACAACUAUGUGAGUGUGAGCCUUAUGUCGCGAACGCGAAGAAAAAAUAAUAACGGGCCUCAAAUUCUUCUAUGCGAACGCAAAUAUCAUCACACGAACACGAUUCACGCUCUCAGGACCUUUCACGAACAAUGACCUUCCUUCACGAACGCGAAGGCCAAAUCUGGCAUGUACUUGCUGCUGCAUUUUCUGCAAUAUUUUCCAACUCUAUACUCCUCGUUAGCCAUUCAAAAUCACCAACACAUCCUAAAACAUCAUCCAAACUCGUUCCAAUCAUCAAAAGACCUCAAACAAUACUAAAACCAUCAACUCUCGUCGAAUUGAAGCCUAAGUUCUUCAAAAAAUUCCGAAAUACUCUUUCGAUCAAAAACUCAACCAAAUGACAUCCGAAUGAUCUGAAAUUAUUCACACACAUCCCAGAUCACAUAAUAAGCUACAACAACUCUCAGAAUUCCAUUCUGACCCUCGGAUCAAAAUCUCACCUAUCAACCAGAAUUCGCCAAAACACUAACUUUGCCAACUCACGCCAAAUCCUUCCACGAACUUCCAAAAUGCCUUCCGAUCAAGCUCCUAAGUCAUAAAUUACUUAACGGAGCUAGCCAAAUCAUCAAAUUUCCAAUCCGAGCUUAUAUAUAAAUAAGUCAACUCUCGCUCAAACCUUUCAAAUACAAAGCUUUUAACUGAAACUGUUCUUUCAAAUUCAUUCCAAAUUUCCCUAAAACCAAAACCAACAAUCUACAUUCGUCAUAAUACCUAACAUGCAGAAAGUCAUGCCUGAGAACUUGCGAUCAAAGUGAAAAGCUCAAAAUGACUGGUCGGGUCGUUACAUCCUCCCCCACUUAAACACGCGUUCGUCCUCGAACGUACGUGGAGCUAUUCUAAAAGCCAACCAAACGCUGAAUAACCUCACCAUGUAUAUACUCUGGGGUGAUCCCAUGUCACCCUAUCUCAUAUACGUUCGAUAACACAAUAUAACUGAAAUUUGACAAUACAUCCUAAUCCAUAAAUCACAUACCUACAUUUCCACCACCGAAAUCAUCCACAAGAAUAAAAAUCUUAUAUUCAUACUCUGAAUAAACCCAAAUGGCUGUAAUAACCCAUAUGUUUAACCUCGGAGCCAUUACAUGAUAAACCACAUAACUCUAACGGUCGUAGCAAUAACUUCUAUUCACCACAGCUGUUCACAACACCUAAAUACUGGUAGAAAAACUCUUGUCAGCAAAAGUCUCGUUCCAACACGGUCAUUAACAGCCAAUGAUAAAUGAAACACGCAAUAAAUCAUAACCAUUCUUGAAGCCACUUUUCCUAUGACAAAUACCAUAGCAAACUUCCGAGCCGAACCUCGAUAUUAACCUGCCAACAUGCUGAAAUCGAAUCUGUUCGUAUUCAUUAAUGAUCCUAACAAUAUCCUCUAAUCCAAUACACCACUCUGGCGGCAUAACACCUCAAUAGAGGCAUAAGCCAUAGUUAGCAUAAUACCCUACCAAUAAGCAACAGCCUGAACAUACUCAAAUCAUGGAAAUGACUCAAAUGAAAGAGUUGUACCUCACGCUCACAAGCACCACCACCACAACACAGGGCUGAGAACAAGUCUCACAUCAUAAAAUGGAAUACACAAAUUUAACUCGCAAGGUCAUAUCUCCACAUAACCUCGCUACAGUGCACGAUGCUAUCCAAACACCUCUCCAUAUGAGACACCUCGAGUCACUAUGCUCAAAAUUGGCAACCACAUACAAUUUGAUGUCUGAACCAAAGAAAAUCAUUCCACCCGUGGUGAAACAAGUAACAUAUACCACACAAACCAAAGGACAUAGCCGAUACGCCAUUCACCGAGCAAUACCCAAUUACUCUUCCGCUCGACUUCCACUAAGAACCCCAACAGAACCGCGCCGUAUGUGCCUAUAACCAACAAAUAAUAACAUCUCACAACAUGGAUAGGUAACUCAUAGAUAUCGCCAGAUCACUGAUAAGCUCAACAACGGUCGAAUCAAUAACUCCCACAACAAUGCCAUUCGGAGCCAGCCCAACCAACUCAAGAUAAAACACUCACCCACAUUGGCCUACCAACAAACUCCUUAUCGAGGAAGCCUGAAGAUGCUCCUUCUACCACUACAACUCUACCGAUGCUAUACGGUACGAUACAAGGCACCAAAUCCACACGAAAAUCCAUAACCUUGCCCAGCGACAUGCCCAGCCACAAGAAACAUCCAUGAGAAGUCACUCACCGCCGGAACGGAAUAAAUAUGAGGAGCCUCAGCAUUGACUCUCAUCACAAGAGUCCCAAUAAGAAGGCAAUCCUUCCCAUCCGAUCGUUGGUCCUUCAAAGCAUAACCCACUCUACUAGAACAUACUCUGACGCACUUCGCCAAUCAAUCUGUGGCAUUCCAUCAUAGCCCAUAAUGCAAUAGUCCAAGAUAUACUAACGCUGAGACGAUCCGUCUAAAUCUUCAACAUCACAUCCAAAAAUCUAACAUACCAAGCAAGGAAAGAUCCACGUAGGCCUCCAAAUCUCAGUAGUCAUUAAAAAGUGCUGAUACACGUGAUCCAUAACCAUAACAUAGCCUGAACAUGAGAACUCCCAAUCUCCAACUCCAUAUGGCACACGAAUAAUCGUGCCUAAUCCCAAUUUCUCCGUCCGAACAUAUACAACACCUUAAAUACUAUAUCACUCCACGAUAAAUACUCUAAAAAAAUUCAUGUGCCACCAAGCAAACCCGAAUAUCACCAGUUGAUCUAACAGGAAAAUGCCGCAAUAUUGCUAAAGUGCCACCAACUUAAUCACAUUACCCUUUUCUAAAUUGUAUACUCUCGUCAAAUCACCUUCGAAUGGCAGUACCAUUUUCCUUGAUUAUCUUAGGCUACCUGCUGGCUAAGUGUUUUAUGAACUUCCUUUCUGAAUUGAACUGUAACCUAACACAUGCAAGUCUCGGUCAUCUACAACAUGCCGCAUAUACCAUACCAUACGAGGAUAACAUGAAAACUUUAUCUCCCUUCCGAGCCACAGACAUCUACGCACUCAACUAGUCAAGAAUUUUCCAUUAGUCCUAUCUAGAACAAAAAUCACUAUACAUCCUAUGCUCCACAUGCCCAUAAAAUAUAUACAUCUCCAAACCACGGUAAAACCCAACAAGAACUCUCCCAAUUCCAUUUGCACAAACUAAACUGCCAGGAUUGAAUCCUUCUAACUAGACAAGCUAAGCAAGCCGUCAGAACCCAAGAGCAUUAUUGAAAAAAACUUGUACGGACUCAUUACCUCGAACACAUACAAGGAAUUAAUCAUAUCCUUACCAUACAGGUUCAGUCUACUAUCAAGAUACUCCAUCUAUCAAAAUUUCCUUCUGAUUCAUCUCAAACUUGAUAUUUCUCCUUGUUGUAGCACCACAAUUCCUCAACCCAGGCUUACCACACGAAACCUAAGCCGCUGAAUACUCUCUCAAAUACUCCCAGAAGCACCAUAUUCCAGAAUACUUUUCUCUGAAGAACUUCCCGUGAAUCAAAAUACGUUACCUUUACUUUCCUGACACUGAUAUAUAGAAUCCCGCAAUCAACAUAGAAGUACCAAAAAUCUAGACCUCUUCCAAUAAAAAUGCAGUUUCUAACCACACGUAUAAUUUUGAAAUACCCGAUUGUUCCCUGUAAAAUCUAUAACACAUUAGAGCCAUCCUCGCAAGUCAUUCACUCUUAUUCAACUACAACUUACCUGAACUAACGAACAGAACCACCCGCGCCUCGUUGGCACUCCGAUACUGCAAAAUCAAUUCCUCAUCCCAAUAUAACCAUGUAACUUCUGCUAUACGUAUCGAGCAUUCUUUACCAAUAGCAACUCUAGACAUUUUGUGAUUCUCAUACCCUAUGAAGCAUUAUAUAACCUUUGUCAAAAUUUUUCUUUACUCUAGCCACAACUAAUUCACUCGCAUGCCCCAAAUUAAAACCAACAUAGCACCUAACCAUGCAAUCACCUGAUCAUAGCAGACUCCCCCACUUGGCUUGAAGCCAUAGAUCAAGAUACACUCAAUAACACAUAACACUUUUGCUCUAUCAAUGUCACUAUACCAUAGUGAGAUUAAGCUCAAAUCAUUUAUAAGUUUGUGAAAACACAUAUCAUCUAGUACUGUAAAUCUUCUGCAAAUCUCGUAUUCAUCCCUGGAACCGUUAAGCUCACUCUCUUAAGGGACCUGAAAUUUAGAAUUUCAACACGUACUUUUUAAUUACACAUGAGGUCUUCUAACAUACACAUAGGGAUCGUACCACUUCAGAACCCUCCACAGGAGAUAACCCACCUGCUUCGUCUCAAUAUAAUAUUUUCACAAAGUUUAGCCCACUCUCUUCGGCGACCCGAAAUUCCAAAUUUUCAACACAUACUUUUCACUUACGUAUUAGAUCUUCCAACAUACACAUAAGAUCACACCACUUCAGAACACUCCGCAGGAGAUAAACCACCUGCUUCGCCUAUAUAUAAAAUUUCUAUAUAAUUUCCACUGUCAUACACAUUACAUAGUUGCUAAGUCUUCCUGAGUCUGAACUCAUACUGUAAAAUGCAAUUUACUUCACUCCCAACUAGGAGACUUGAAAAGAUUAUUCACGCGACCAUAACUCGGAGCUACACAUCCAAUCACAAUGGAAAUUAUACACUUAAUAGUUCACAUAUUAUCCAGCAGAUAUUCCUUGACACUUCCAAGUCAUGUAGAAACAUCUCGUGGUACUAACAUAUUCAUCAUAUAGCAAUCCAUCCUUCAUUCCCACAAAUAGGGACAAUACCGAACAUAUUAGUUUAAAACUUUCUCACAUAACCAGUACCUCGGUGCUCAAGCAAUAGGCAAAGAUCCGUCCUCAAGCCCAUCAAAAUGGCCCAACAUCAACUCACAGAUAUCACGUCUCGCCCCUAAUUUAGGGAAUCACAAGCCAUCAAGGCAUAUCUGAUACUAAGCGCUCAUGGACGCAUACGAAUGUAUGGAAGGAAUUUCAAAAGUUACCUUUCAAGCUGAAUCAAGGACGCAUGAUAAAAAUUCAAGAAUGUGAAGUUUUCCUAAAGGUUCUGCUGCCUCUCGAGGAUAAACAGAGACGUCUCCGUACCGAUCCGCGAGACUCUACUAAACCUGCUCAUGACUCGUGAGACCUAUUAACCUAGGCUCUAAUACCAACUGUCUCUGCAGCCUCUCGCGGAUAAAUACAGACGUCUCUGUACCGAUCCGUGACUCUACUAAACCUGCUCAUAACUCCUAAAACCUAGUAACCUAGGCUAUGAUACCAACUUGUUACGACCCAAACCCCACACUGGCCGUGCGGGCGCCUCUCAUAAAGACAAGGCCAGCCAAUUAACCCAACUCAUCUUUUCGAAAAUAGUUAAACACAAUUAAACAACUCAAAUAUGACUUAACAAUAAUAAUUAGCAGAAAUACAAUCCAACACAGCCGUAAUCGGGGUGUCACAAGUCACGAGCAUGUAUCAGGAUGUAAGUCCACUAAAAGGUAAAAAUAUGCAAAACCGGAAUAUUGAACAAAAGAGGGAAAUAUGAUGUUGCGAACGGUGACAGACACCUCCUUAACUCAUAUAACUCUGCCUCUGAUCGGCCAAAACCCGUUUCCGGGUGAAUAGAUACAUGCAUCUGCACACAAGGAGCAGGGAGUAAAGUGAAUACUCCAACUUAGUAAGUAAUCAAGGUAAAUAACAACUAAGAAGUAAGAAAUCGCGUAAAGCAAACAAUCAUGAUGUAUAGAAGCAGGGUACAAUCCUUUGAGAAAAUAGUGAAGCUGUGAAAUCAUUGGAAAGAUCUUGGCUCAGUUUAAAUCUCUUUUGAAAACGAUUCUUUCACCAUUUACGAAAUUACUUCAAAAUAGUUAGUGCCAAUAAGCACAGAAAAUUUGCUUCUCGGGCAUAAAUACCACAGUAUAACAGGUAAAAAGGCAAGUAAAUAUGCAAGAUAAGCACAUAAAAUUUCGCCCCUCGGGCAAUAUAUCAAAACAAUACCCAUCCCUCGGGCUCAAUAUCAAUCGCUCAGAAUAGUAUCAGCCCCUCGGGCUCAAUAUCAGUCACUCAGCAUAGAAUUAGCCCCUCGGGCUCACUCUUAGAUUAUAUGGCCGCGCUUAUGGGUGUGCAGACUUUGAAGGGGCCCCUUAUGGCCCAAGCCUAUAUCAAUAUAAGUCCUGAAAGCCUUCUCACAUCACUCAUAAAGCCUGAAAGCCUCUGCACAUCACUCGCAUGGCCUGAAAGCCUCCUCACGUCACUCGCAGGGCCUGAAAGCCUCCUCACUUCACUUACAAGGCCUGAAAGCCUCCUCACAACUCCCACAAGGCCUAAAAGCCUCCUCAUAUAUCUCACAAAGCCUGAAAGCCUUCUCAUGUCACUCAAGCCACCUCGUGGCAUAUAAAUAUACUCAGGCACUUGGCCUCACUCAGUCCAGAAAACAUCAUAAGCCCCUCGGGCAUCAAUAAAAUAGUAGUGCUCAGCCCAAACAGCAGUGGAAAUAUCAUUUAAGUCUCGAAAUUCAAUUAAAGCGGCUGAGUUUGUAAAACAGUAUAAUUAUUAGGACUGAGUUCAAGUAAAUGUAUCAAAAUAGUGAGGAAACAGUGAUAAAAGUCCACGAAGGAUUCAAGUAGUCGACAUUAAGCCCAAAAUAUGGCAAUAGGCUUAAAUCAUCGUGAUAAUAAACACAUCUCAGUCAAAUACGCGAUAUAAUAUCAAACGGGAAUUUAGAAAAAUCUGAACUCGGUAGUGGGUGUUGAUUGCUCAGUGGCGGAGUCAUUGGAGUUAGCAAGGUAGAUUCGACGUUAGAAGCACUGCUCUUCACCCUCUUGUCUUUCUUAGAUUUUAUUUAGUAUAUUUUUAGACUCUUCGUUGUACUCAGAACAUAGUACAUGCUCGUGACUUGUGUCUGGCUUGAGUAUUUAUUCAGCACUGUUCAUUUAGACUUACAUUAUGAGAUAUUUGAUUAAUUAAAAGCUUAAAAAAAUAUUUCUUAUUAAAUACUGGUUAAUUCGAGAAUUGUGUCGGCUAACUUAGUUUUAAGAUAAGCGCCAUCACGACCGGGUUGGUUUUUGGGUCGUGACAAGUUUCUAAUGAAUUAAUAUUGAAUUAGGAUUACAUUAUAGUGCUCUCUUUCGGUAGGAGAUUUAUAUAUAUAUCCCAUGCUCCACAUGCCCAUAAAAUAUAUACAUCUCCAAACCACGGUAAAACCCAACAAGAACUCUCCCAAUUCCAUUUGCACAAACUAAACUGCCAGGAUUGAAUCCUUCUAACUAGACCAAUCUAAGCAAGCCGUUGAAACCCAAGAGUAUUGCUGCAAAAUACUUGUACGAACUCAUUACCUCGAACACACACAAAGAAUUAAUCAUAUCCAGUNNNNNNAAAACCAAUUCCUAAAUUCUUCCCAUUUUGGACUAUAAAAUUCUAAAGAAAUCUUUUUUCGUGCCAGAGAACCUGGACUAAAAUCAAUUUUUUUACUAUCUAUGUAAACCAGUUGGAAAAUUCAUGUCAGAAUCUGUAGGAUCACUUAAACGAUCUUCACCUUUAGCAAUAUUAUUAUAUAUAUAUAUAUAUAUAUAUAUAUAUAUAUAUAUUAGAAGGAAAUGCAAAUAGUAUAAUGACUCUAAAGUAGGAUAUCUUUAAUUAGUUCGGGUGGGGGUUUUAUAGUAUUCAAAGUUUACAUUUCAUUAAAAUUGUUCAAAAAUUCUAUGCAAAUAAGACCUCUUUUUGGGUGUCAUUUGACAUUUGACAUCACAAAGGAAUACGUUCUAUUGUUCCUAAUCUUUAGCGGUUAAUUAUAUUAGGACUUUAACUUCUACCUAACUCAAAAUAAGAAAGAAUUUAAUAACAUUUCAAGGUUCUAAUUAAAUAUUUAGAAAAUUAAAAUAAAAAUAGUUAUAGUUAUGUAAUAUAAUCUUAAAAUAAAAUAUUUCGUAGAAGGUAAAAUAUUAAUGAUUUUAAGGUCUUAAAUAUUAUAACUUCAUGCAUAGUCCAAAUAAGGAAGCAUUAACAAGAAUAAUUUAUUUUAUUAUUAAGGAAGUAGUUAGAUGAUUAUUUUUUAGAUCAGUUCAUUGGAUCCAUCUCUUUCAUAUGGGAAAAUUUCAUAUACAUGUUACAACCACUGAUUAUCUACUUAUAAAAAAUUAUUUAAUAUAAUUCUAAAGAGUAAUAAUUGUUAAAGAAAUUUUAAACAAAGUAAAAAUAUUAAUAUGUGUUAACUCAUAUUUAUUUCUUCCUUCCUAAUUAAAAUUGCAUCAGCUUCUAAUUAUACUAUCCUGACUCACGAUUAUAAUUAAACACUUAUAGAGAGCUAUUCAAUAUAUUUUCAUACUGAAAUUUUUUUGUUUAUAUUUUACCAUCAUAAUUAUUUACAGAUAGAAAACUAAUCAAUAUAUUUCUAAAGAGUGUAACGAUUGUUAAAGAAAUUUUAAAUAAAGAAAAAAUUUAAUAUGCAUUAACUCAACUUGCUACAUAGCAAAAGUUUGACCAACUUCUGGUCAUACUAUUGGUCCACUAUGUUUAUAUAAAUAUCGAACUAAUUCCUCAUUCCGAGAGUACUAAAACUUUUCUCGUAGAAAUAUCUUGAUACAAAAAAAAGUCGAAAAAUGAAAAUAAAUAUAAGGGGAUUCGUUUCUUUCGUGUUAUUGAUUGUCUUGGCCGUUGGAGGAAAUUUUAUUGAAGGUACUCAGAUUAUAAUUACAUGUGAUCUAGCUGUAUGUGCAAAAACAUGCCAACAAGCUUAUGGUUCAAGGCUAAUUAAAUCAUAUUGUAUACCCAUACCAUUUGGAGAUGCAAAAGUUUGUGUUUGUGAACACAACCCGCCAUUCUCAAAGGAUCACGAAAGAGUUUAUUUUCAUAGUUCGUAUAAACUUAUCAAUUAAAAGAGAGUUAAUAUACAUAAUCACCUUAUUAUUUUCUCCGUGAUAACUAGAAAUUCUUUUAUGAAAUAAAGGUUAGAUACUUCCAUCAAUAUUUGAAUCGGUAGAUAGAUGUUUUCAUAGAUCUCCUCAUUAUUUAUUGUUCUUUAGAGUAGUUUUUUCAUGUUUACUUGAUUCAUAUGUGUAGAUGAAAAAACUAAGAUUAAGGAGCUAUUUUAGUCAAUUUUUAUCAUAUAAAAAGUGAACAAACCAGCGACAAACAAACACAACAACCAAAGGAACUAUUAAACUAAAGAGACUUAUAUAGCAGAUGAAUUCUCCUAAAAUUUAUAAGGAAAUACAUUAAUAGUUAAAAGAACAUGAUCACUUGAAGAUGAUACAGGUUUGAAAAAAAAAUUAAAAGAGUCGUAUAAAGUAUUCGAGAAUACAAAAGUUCAAUGCUUAUUUCUAGAUCGAAAUGCUAGAUAGAAAGACAACAAGAGUUUAAUUAAAAUCAUCCAAUAUAUUCGAUAAUGCAAGAGUUUAUCAAUUGAGAUUGUUAAGACUUUCAACUCUUAAUCGAAUAAAUAAAACCGAAAACAUUAAAAAUGAAGAAAAAAAUCUAUUAGACCGUAGCAUUCUAUAAUUAUCACAAUCAAAAUUCUUAAAGUAUUUGGAAAAGUUCCACAUAUCCUUGUACUAUUAUUUUUUGUCACAACCAAAUUUCUAAACUCCUCUUUUCUGGUUAAAAAUCCACUUUAUUAUCUGGUAGAAAGUGACUUGAACUUGAGUGUAACGAUAUGAUCACUCGUUUUGAGUUUUAGCAUGUUUUCCAGCGAUUUGAGAUCAUGAGCAGAUUCAUUUCAGGUAUUAUGACUUGUACGCAUGGCCGG